Molecule: RNA transcript, 1826 nt
Organism: Impatiens glandulifera
Lineage: Eukaryota; Viridiplantae; Streptophyta; Magnoliopsida; Ericales; Balsaminaceae
Gene name: heterogeneous nuclear ribonucleoprotein 1-like
Exons: 3
Source: RefSeq, a predicted model, not a curated record
UCUAUCUCUCCUUACCCUUCUUGUUCUUCUUCUACAGUCGGCUUCUUCCCCACAAACCCUCAGAUUCCAGACCGCAGCUUCUCUUCGAUUUCCAAACUUAGUAGAAAAAGAUGGAUUCCGAUCAAGGGAAGCUUUUUAUUGGUGGGAUUUCAUGGGAAACAAGUGAGGAGAAGCUGAAGGAUCAUUUUGAGCUCUAUGGAGAGGUUCUUCAGACUGUUGUUAUGAAGGAUAAGGCCACUGGAAGACCCAGAGGAUUUGGAUUCGUCGUCUUUGCAGAUCCUUCCACUCUUGAUAGAGUUCUUAUCGAUUCACAUACGAUAGAUGGUAGAACGGUUGAUGUAAAGAAGGCUAUGUCAAGAGAGGAACAACAAACAUCCUCAAGGCCAGGAAGCACGAAUGUUGGUAGAAGUUUUGGGGGUGGUGGUGGUGGAAACUACAAGACCAAGAAAAUAUUCGUGGGAGGUUUGCCUCCAACACUGUCGGAGGAAGGAUUCCGUCAGUAUUUUGAAACAUUCGGGCCUGUAAGCGAUGUGGUCAUUAUGUAUGAUCAGCAAACUCAAAGGCCUCGUGGGUUUGGAUUUAUUGUGUUUGAAAAUGAAGAUGCUGUUGAUAGAGUGGUAGUGAAGAACUUUCAUGAUUUACUAGGUAAGAUGGUUGAAGUGAAGCGGGCUAUGCCUAAGGAUGCCAACCCCGGUGGUGGUGUACGUUCGAUGGGUGGUGCUGGUGGAGGUUAUGGAGGAAAUUCGGGUGGUUCUUAUGAUGGGAGAAAGUCUCAAGAUAAUGGAGGAGGCGGUUAUCCUUCGUAUGGUUCUGGGUAUAAUGCACCAGCUAGUUAUGGAUACGGUGGUGGGGAGAACUAUGGUGUUUACGGUGGUUAUGGUGGUUCAAACCCUGGUUAUGGUGGUCAAGCUGGCGCUGGUUAUGGAAACCCUAAUGCAACUGGUGCAGGUUAUGGAAGCGGUCAACAAGGGUCUUGGAAUGGCCAAGCUGCUUCAGGAUAUGGUAAUGUUGGUUCAUGGGGUGGUCAAAAUGCAAAUAGUGGUGGUGGGAAUUCAGCAGCAGCCAUGAUGGGUCAAUCUGCAGGUGUAACUGCUGCUGCUGCUGGAUAUGGGAAUCAAGGUUAUGGUUAUGGUGGUGGCUAUGGUGGAGGAAGUGAUGGGUCUUAUGGUAAUCAAGUAACAGCAGGAUAUGGUGCUGUUGGAGGUCGUCCUGUUCAGAGUGGAAAUGGUUCAGAAAUGCAUGGAAGCUACGGAUAUGGAGAUUUGAAUGGGAAUUCUUCUGGUUAUGGUGGAAACCAAGGAUGGAGAAAUGAUCCUUCUCAAAACUCUGGAAAUUACGGGGCUGAUAAUGGAUAUGGUGGCGGAUAUGGUGGUGUGCCUGCCCAACAAGUUCAACAACAGUAAAGAAACCGAACGGGGUCUUAUUAUGCAUAUCCUUUUUUUAUACAGGGAAGAGGAGAAGCAGAUGAUGGGGACUCGUCGGUCUGACCAUGAUUCAUGAGGAUGAAAGAUGGAUGAUCCAGUUCUGAAAUUGAUACUUUGAGUUUUCGAGAGAUUUGGGGGAGAAAGCAAACCGAGUUGGAUUGAUCGACGACAGAGUACAGACUAAUGUAAGUUGGUUUAGUAUAGAGGUGAAGUUUUGGAUUUCAGAUUCUCAAGAUUCUAGUUUUAGUGAAUGAGCCAUUAGCCAUAGAUAGUAUCAAACUAAGAAGCCUUUUUAGAUAAUAAAAUUGGUUUUAUUUUGGCAACAUUAUUGUUAUACACUUGUACUAAUCUUUUCAUCUUUUUAUCUACUGUAAUUUCAAAUGAAUUAUAAGUUUUUCUUCA